RNAcentral lists this ribosomal RNA (515 nucleotides) under uncultured chicken cecal bacterium. RNAcentral's name for it is "bacterial SSU rRNA". It matches the Rfam family "Bacterial small subunit ribosomal RNA", at positions 8 to 521 of the family's 1533-position model. The record is from RNAcentral.
AGAGUUUGAUCCUGGCUCAGGACGAACGCUGGCGGCGUGCCUAACACAUGCAAGUCGAACGGGGCUCUUUGGAUCGAGACUUCGGUCAAGUGAAGUAAGAGCUUAGUGGCGGACGGGUGAGUAACGCGUGAGCAACCUGCCUUUCAGAGGGGGACAACAGUUGGAAACGACUGCUAAUACCGCAUAAUGUGUUUUGGGGGCAUCCCCGGAACACCAAAGAUUUAUCGCUGAAAGAUGGGCUCGCGUCUGAUUAGCUGGUUGGUGGGGUAACGGCCUACCAAGGCGACGAUCAGUAGCCGGACUGAGAGGUUGAACGGCCACAUUGGGACUGAGAUACGGCCCAGACUCCUACGGGAGGCAGCAGUGGGGAAUAUUGGGCAAUGGGGGCAACCCUGACCCAGCAACGCCGCGUGAAGGAAGAAGGCUUUCGGGUUGUAAACUUCUUUUACCAGGGACGAAGACGUGACGGUACCUGGAGAAAAAGCCACGGCUAACUACGUGCCAGCAGCCGCGGU